RNAcentral lists this non-coding RNA (32 nucleotides) under Rattus norvegicus (Norway rat). Lineage: Eukaryota; Metazoa; Chordata; Mammalia; Rodentia; Muridae. The record is from RNAcentral.
UGUGUGAAUGCAUUUGCCCAAUACAUUGGUGU